CUCUCUCUCUGUUUUAAGAUUUUAAAUUGUAUUAUGAUGUGAAGUUUGGGAGAAAACGGGAGACUGAGCAGCAAGAUGGGUCAGUGCAUCUAGUUGAUCAACGAUCAGUCACUAAUGGGCAUUCUUGGAAUAUGGUGGUUGAGAAUGGAAAUAUCAAAAACACAUCUGAUAUGGCCAUUUUUGAGCAGUUCUAGAGUCAGGAGAGGGAUGGCACCACACAACUUCCUGUAUCUCUUUCUGGGCGAACUGACGAAAAGCCGCAAAGGUCUCUGCUUCCUGCUUUUGAAUCUGCAGAAAUGCGCACCUUAGUAGAGAGUUUAAGUAGGGAUAUCAUUCGUGGGAAUCCAGAUGUGAAGUGGGAAAGCAUCAAGGGGUUAGAGAAUGCAAAGCGCCUUCUUAAGGAAGUAGUUUUGAUGCCAA
Magnolia sinica is the source of this 420-nucleotide long non-coding RNA. RefSeq lists it as uncharacterized. The transcript has 4 exons. The record is from RefSeq and is a predicted model, not a curated record. Lineage: Eukaryota; Viridiplantae; Streptophyta; Magnoliopsida; Magnoliales; Magnoliaceae.